UGCCAGUAGUGAAAGUGUCCACUCAGCUUCU
This 31-nucleotide non-coding RNA is filed under the name Mus musculus (house mouse). Lineage: Eukaryota; Metazoa; Chordata; Mammalia; Rodentia; Muridae. The record is from RNAcentral.